CGUGACCUACGGGACGCAGCAGUAGGGAAUCUUCCACAAUGGACGAAAGUCUGAUGGAGCAACGCCGCGUGAGUGAAGAAGGGUUUCGGCUCGUAAAGCUCUGUUGGUAGUGAAGAAAGAUAGAGGUAGUAACUGGCCUUUAUUUGACGGUAAUUACUUAGAAAGUCACGGCUAACUACGUGCCAGCAGCCGCGGUAAUACGUAGGGGGCAAGCGUUGUUCGGAAUGACUGGGCGUAAAGGGGGGGUAGGCGGUAGUACAAGUUAGAAGUGAAAUAC
Molecule: ribosomal RNA, 277 nt
Filed under: uncultured bacterium
Lineage: Bacteria
Description: partial 16S ribosomal RNA
Rfam family: Bacterial small subunit ribosomal RNA
Source: RNAcentral